RNAcentral lists this ribosomal RNA (253 nucleotides) under uncultured bacterium. RNAcentral's name for it is "partial 16S ribosomal RNA". It matches the Rfam family "Bacterial small subunit ribosomal RNA", at positions 524 to 776 of the family's 1533-position model. The record is from RNAcentral.
UACGAAGGGGGCUGGCGUUGCUCGGAAUCACUGGGCGUAAAGGGUGCGUAGGCGGGUCUUUAAGUCAGGGGUGAAAUCCUGGAGCUCAACUCCAGAACUGCCUUUGAUACUGAAGAUCUUGAGUGCGGGAGAGGUGAGUGGAACUGCGAGUGUAGAGGUGAAAUUCGUAGAUAUUCGCAAGAACACCAGUGGCGAAGGCGGCUCACUGGCCCGAUACUGACGCUGAGGCACGAAAGCGUGGGGAGCAAACAGG